AUUGAUCCUUCCAUUUUUAUGGUUGAACCUCCAAUGAUGAAAAAAAAAAAAAAAAACUGAAUAAAUGAAAUGUUUGUAGAAAACUUAAAGGUCACCUUUAUUACCUUGUUAUUUUUUUAAAGACCCUGAGGAGGC
Plasmodium blacklocki (nom. inval.) is the source of this 135-nucleotide non-coding RNA. The record is from the annotation of a GenBank genome assembly. NCBI's taxonomy places the organism in Eukaryota, Apicomplexa, Aconoidasida, Haemosporida, Plasmodiidae.